UCUGGUGUGUCCUCAGGCACAGUUUGUCAGA
Molecule: non-coding RNA, 31 nt
Filed under: Rattus norvegicus (Norway rat)
Lineage: Eukaryota; Metazoa; Chordata; Mammalia; Rodentia; Muridae
Source: RNAcentral